Molecule: long non-coding RNA, 206 nt
Filed under: Elaeis guineensis (African oil palm)
Lineage: Eukaryota; Viridiplantae; Streptophyta; Magnoliopsida; Arecales; Arecaceae
Description: long non-coding RNA (EGUI_LNC042819)
Source: RNAcentral
UGGGGCAUGACAGAAAUGGUAUUAAAGCCUAAGUUAUGAUUAUUUGGGACUGUGGUAUAAGUGAUUAAUGCAUGAUAUAAGUAAUAUCAGAGCUUAGGUUAUGAUCACUAGGGAUUGUGACUUAAGUGGUAUUUACGUAUAAAGUUAUAAUUACUAAAGACAUGAUAGAUCUAGCUUAAAGGAUUCAAAGAUUGGAUUUCAAAUUA